AUUUUGAAGACACAUGCACAGAUUCCCACACAAACGGCAUGAAUGUUUUACUAGGACUGAAGUGGGAGCUCUGCUGGUAACUUCAACCCAAGAAUGACUCCACACAAGAAGUGACAGACUCUCCUUGUGUUGUUGGAAUGAGAACAGCUGUGAUUGGACACAUUACUAUCAGCACGUUCUCUGGAGGGUCUGUACUUGGGGUCUUAUAACAGCCUAAGGCGCACUCUAGUGGACACACAACAAACUGGAAUGAGGAUACAAAUGUUAUGGAAGAAUAGAUAAUGAAAGCCACUGGUUGGAAUUAGUGAUUAGACUUAUUUAUUAGCAUGUUUAAAGUUGUCUUAAGUACUUAGGCAAUAUGUUUAAGUUAUAUAUGAAGGCUGAAGUUUCCAUAGAAAACAUAAUAAAAGGACUGAAAUAAAAACACUGGCUCAAAUGAAAACCUUCAUCUGUUCAUCCAGCCAGUCCAUUCAAGGCUGGCACAAGAAGUUGCUGUGUAUACAUCAUUAAUAUAUUUUAAUUAGAUUAAUAAUGAUAUUUAGUAGAGAUGAUCAACACAGUGCAAAUUCAGUAAUUUUAAGAUCUGACUAACCAAAAUGAAUAUACUGACUCCUGCAGCUCACCUAUUAUCACGCAGUAAUCAGUAAAGAUUUUAAAUUGUAGAGCAAACAAUUAGUGUCAUUAAAAAGUACCUCAUGAUUUCUGACAGACUGACUUCUUUUAGUACAUGUUUCUACUAAGUCCUUCCAGUACUUGAAGGGAGCGUUUAAACAGGAGAGGGUAUGACUGUUUGUGAGGGUGGAUAG
Molecule: long non-coding RNA, 806 nt
Organism: Lagopus leucura (white-tailed ptarmigan)
Lineage: Eukaryota; Metazoa; Chordata; Aves; Galliformes; Phasianidae
Exons: 4
Source: RefSeq, a predicted model, not a curated record